GAGAGCGGGAGCCCGGAGAUGGAAUCUGAGACAAAAUUCCAGGCCCUACGGGGCGCAGCAGGCGCGAAACCUCCACAAUGCCGAAAGUGUGAUGGGGCUAUCUCGAGUGCUACCUGAUGAAGGUGGCUUUUCCUUGGUCUAAAAAGCCUUGGGAAUAAGAGGGGGGCAAGACUGGUGUCAGCCGCCGCGGUAACACCAGCCCCUCGAGUGGUGGGGAUGAUUAUUUGGCCUAAAGCGUCCGUAGCCGGCCGUGUAAGUCUUCCGUUAAAUCCGGCGUCUCAAGCGUUGGACCGCGGGAGAUACUGUACGGCUAGAGAGUGGGAGAGGUCAGCGGUAUUCUGGGGGUAGGGGCGAAAUCCUUUGAUCCCCGGAGGACCACCAGUGGCGAAGGCUGCUGACUAGAACACGUCUGACGGUCAGGGACGAAAGCUGGGGUAGCGAACCGGAUUAGAUACCCGGGUAGUCCCAGCCGUAAACGAUGCAUGCUAGGUGUUGGGUUGGCCACGCGCCACCCCAGUGCCGCAAGGGAAGCCGUUAAGCAUGCCGCCUGGGGAAGUACGAUCGCAAGAUUGAAACUUAAAGGAAUUGGCGGGGGAGCACCACCAGGCGUGAAGCCUCGGUUUAAUUGGAUUCAACGCCGGA
Molecule: ribosomal RNA, 642 nt
Filed under: uncultured archaeon
Lineage: Archaea
Description: bacterial SSU rRNA
Rfam family: Archaeal small subunit ribosomal RNA
Source: RNAcentral